Triticum dicoccoides is the source of this 638-nucleotide long non-coding RNA. RefSeq lists it as uncharacterized. The transcript has 3 exons. The record is from RefSeq and is a predicted model, not a curated record. Lineage: Eukaryota; Viridiplantae; Streptophyta; Magnoliopsida; Poales; Poaceae.
GGCUGCCUGCCUUCAGUCCCUGGCCACGGGGCUUCUCCAGCCGGCGCAUCCUCUCAGCGAGCAGCCAUGGAAGGUGAGGGACUCCUCCCUCCUAGCUAGCUGCCUCUCCCCUCCCGGCCACAUGCAUGGAAGGUGACUGACUUGUAAGUAUGUGUGUAUGUGUUGGUCCUUUGUGCUGCUGCUGCUGCUGCCUGGAUGAUGAUGCUAAUGUGUGCUCACAGUGCUCGCUCGACUUGCCUGUAUGUUCUCCACCACCAUACUUUUGCAGAGCCUGACUGACCUCCGCUUCCAGAGCCAUGCGGUGCUGGCCCUUCAGGAGGCUGCAGAGGCCUACCUAGUGGGUCUCUUCGAGGACACCAACAUGUGCGCCAUCCAUGCCAAGCGCAUGACCAUCAUGCCCAAGGACAUUCAGCUGGCUAGGAGGAUCCGUGGCAAGAGGGCUUAAGGUGCUUGCUUUGCCUGUGGGAAUGGCUCUGGCAGGCAUCUAUGUCUGCUUUUGCUGCUGAACACUUAUCAUGUGUCGUGAACUACUAAUACUAGUCGUGUGUAGUAAUAUGUCAGUGUCGUACUCUGUGCCAUACUAUGUUCGUAGAGCUGGAUCAUUUGUUCAUUGGUCAUCUGAAAUCAUCCACCUGGUU